Long non-coding RNA from Strongylocentrotus purpuratus (purple sea urchin), 231 nucleotides. RefSeq lists it as uncharacterized. NCBI's taxonomy places the organism in Eukaryota, Metazoa, Echinodermata, Echinoidea, Camarodonta, Strongylocentrotidae. The record is from RefSeq and is a predicted model, not a curated record. The transcript has 3 exons.
CGAGUAUACGUAUCGCCUGCGCCUAGCUAGCUGACAAUAACGCGUCGCGACGAUAUCGACAAAGUCGGAGAAUGGAUUGAAACUAAAGAGCUGAAAGAAGUUAACAACAUGAAGCAGAAAGUCCCAUGCAGGAUGAUGCUUCUCUACAGUGGGUGAUGAAGGCAUGCUGGUUUACAAACUCAGGAGAGGAACAAAGAAGAGAUAUUGGCGGGAUCAUAUCUAGAGAUGCGG